Sparus aurata (gilthead seabream) is the source of this 130-nucleotide small nucleolar RNA. The record is from Ensembl. Lineage: Eukaryota; Metazoa; Chordata; Actinopteri; Spariformes; Sparidae.
GCACCUCUCAGCAACCCUAUCGAUUCUGUUGGUGUUUGAUACGGGCAGUAGUGGUGCAAUAAAGAUUCAAUGCAAGUCCAGACGGACCUCCUCCUCCUGUGGAGUCUGUCUCUACAACUUUGAUACACAA